CCCUUCGGGGUGGAUCAGUGGCGAACGGGUGAGUAACACGUGAGCAACCUGCCCCUGGCUCUGGGACAACCACUGGAAACGGUGGCUAAUACCGGAUACGACUCGCCCCGGCAUCGGGUGCGGGUGGAAAGAUUUAUCGGCUGGGGAUGGGCUCGCGGCCUAUCAGCUUGUUGGUGGGGUGAUGGCCUACCAAGGCGACGACGGGUAGCCGGCCUGAGAGGGCGACCGGCCACACUGGGACUGAGACACGGCCCAGACUCCUACGGGAGGCAGCAGUGGGGAAUAUUGCACAAUGGGCGCAAGCCUGAUGCAGCGACGCCGCGUGAGGGAUGACGGCCUUCGGGUUGUAAACCUCUUUCAGCUUUGACGAAGCCCCUCGGGGUGACGGUAGGAGCAGAAGAAGCACCGGCUAACUACGUGCCAGCAGCCGCGGUAAUACGUAGGGUGCAAGCGUUGUCCGGAAUUAUUGGGCGUAAAGAGCUCGUAGGCGGUGUGUCGCGUCUGCUGUGAAAACUCAGGGCUCAACUCUGAGCUUGCAGUGGGUACGGGCACACUUGAGUGCGGUAGGGGAGACUGGAAUUCCUGGUGUAGCGGUGAAAUGCGCAGAUAUCAGGAGGAACACCGGUGGCGAAGGCGGGUCUCUGGGCCGUAACUGACGCUGAGGAGCGAAAGCAUGGGGAGCGAACAGGAUUAGAUACCCUGGUAGUCCAUGCCGUAAACGUUGGGCGCUA
This 731-nucleotide ribosomal RNA is filed under the name Kineococcus sp. RNAcentral's name for it is "bacterial SSU rRNA". It matches the Rfam family "Bacterial small subunit ribosomal RNA", at positions 76 to 818 of the family's 1533-position model. Lineage: Bacteria; Bacillati; Actinomycetota; Actinomycetes; Kineosporiales; Kineosporiaceae. The record is from RNAcentral.